GUCACAGUCUGCUUUGCAGAACAACUGCUCUUUGCAAAAGAGCUGAUCCCCAGCCUGCAUCCUCACCGGUUCCACUGGAGACUUCUGAGCACCCCACAUGCUCCCACCACCUGCAGGCAUCUGGAGAGCCACCCCUGGAGGCAUCUGAGAUGCGUGGGUGAAACAAAGGACAUCCCACACUGGACACUGGCACUCGGUGCACUCUCCUCGCUCCAGCCCCAGCCCUCCUGCCCCUCCUCCAGAGGGCGCUGCACACGCCACCCCAAGACAGAAGAGCUGGUCACACCACCUCCCAUGCCCAGCCACUGGCCACCUCUUCAAGCAUGGCGCUGGCCAGCGUCCCUCUCAGCGUGUGGACUCAAGCCCCAGUGUGCACCCAAGCAGGCUCCGCAGGCUUCCUCCCACACUCAUCUGCACACUGCAAGCUCCAGUCCAGGCAUCUCCUGCUGUCCUCACUGCCAGGGCACGGUUCACAGCCUUCCUCUUUCUGACAUGCAGGUGAGCCCUGAGGUGCUGUGUGCUGUGCAGCAACCUUGGAGCUGCCGGCCAUUUUCAUGUUUCCUAGGUUGAUGGCUGUCCCUUAGUAUGGCUUAAGUGUGGCCCUCUGGAAUCCACCUGUUGAAGAUGUUAUGGUUUACAUCCGCAAGUCCCCCAGAGCCCCACACUCAGAGAUAGGGCCUGUGGAAGCCGAUUGGAUUAUGGGGUCUGCAGCUGGCUUGGUUUGGGGGCUCUGGUCUGAAGAGGCAGUCACCAGGGUGUGGCCUGCAAAGGUCUGGCCAGCCUCCCCUCCCUGUCUCCCUGCUGUCCGCCAUGAGCAGCUCUCCCCCACCCACACCUUUUCACCAUGCCGUUCUCCCCUGGAACUGACUCUGGGCUGAGACCUCUGUGAGCCAACGUAAACCUUUUCUCCUCCAAGUUAGGGUAUAGGGCACUGCAUCUCAGUGAUGAGAAGAAAAGUGACCAAGACAGAAAUGUCACGCCCAGUGCAACAGUGUUGGGAGGUUGGAUCCGAUGGAAGACGUUUAGACAAGAUAGGGUAUGGCCGUAGGAUGGACGACAUUUAGGUCAGGAGGGCUCCAUCCCAUGAAUGGAUUAAAGCUGCCGGAGAGAACUUGUGAGACUCCCCCUUCUCUCUCUCUCUCUCUCUCUCUCUCUCUCUCUCUCUCUCUCUCUCUCUCUCUCU
Molecule: long non-coding RNA, 1183 nt
Filed under: Fukomys damarensis (Damara mole-rat)
Lineage: Eukaryota; Metazoa; Chordata; Mammalia; Rodentia; Bathyergidae
Description: lncRNA (ENSFDAG00000022996.1)
Source: RNAcentral